UGUCUUGUAAUUGGAAUGAUGGGAAUUUAAACCUCUUCCAGAGUAUCAAUUGGAGGGCAAGUCUGGUGCCAGCAGCCGCGGUAAUUCCAGCUCCAAUAGCGUAUAUUAAAAUUGUUGCAGUUAAAAAGCUCGUAGUUGAAUUUCUGCUGCAUUGCUUUUGCUCCUUUACGAGUCUUUGCAUUGUGGCUUAUUUCGGACUUUGUUUUACAAUGUCCGGAUGUUUACUUUGAGAAAAUUAGAGUGCUCAAAGCAGGCUUUCGCCUUGAAUAGUUUAGCAUGGAAUAAUAAAGUAGGACUUUGGUUCUAUUUUGUUGGUUUUAGGUACCAAAGUAAUGGUUAAUAGGAACAGUUGGGGGCAUUCGUAUUUAACUGUCAGAGGUGAAAUUCUUAGAUUUGUUAAAGACGAACUACUGCGAAAGCAUUUGCCAAGGAUGUUUUCAUUAAUCAAGAACGAAAGUUAGGGGAUCGAAGACGAUCAGAUACCGUCGUAGUCCUAACCAUAAACUAUGCCGACUAGAGAUUGGAGGUCGUCAGUUUUUACGACUCCUUCAGCACCUUGAGAGAAAUCAAAGUCUUUGGG
This 580-nucleotide ribosomal RNA is filed under the name Theileria ovis. RNAcentral describes it as "SSU rRNA". It matches the Rfam family "Eukaryotic small subunit ribosomal RNA", at positions 499 to 1111 of the family's 1831-position model. The record is from RNAcentral. Lineage: Eukaryota; Apicomplexa; Aconoidasida; Piroplasmida; Theileriidae.